RNAcentral lists this ribosomal RNA (401 nucleotides) under uncultured bacterium. RNAcentral describes it as "bacterial SSU rRNA". It matches the Rfam family "Bacterial small subunit ribosomal RNA", at positions 28 to 429 of the family's 1533-position model. The record is from RNAcentral.
GACGAACGCUGGCGGCGUGCUUAACACAUGCAAGUCGAGCGGUAAGGCCCUUUCGGGGGUACGACGAGCGGCGAACGGGUGAGUAACACGUGGGUGACCUGCCCUCAGCUCUGGGAGUAAGCCUGGGAAACCGGGUCUAAUACUGGAUAUGACUCCAUGACGCAUGUUGGUGGGGUGGAAAGCCUUGUGCGGCUGAGGAUGGGCCCGCGGCCUAUCAGCUUGUUGGUGGGGUGANGGCCUACCAAGGCGACGACGGGUAGCCGGCCUGAGAGGGCGACCGGCCACACUGGGACUGAGACACGGCCCAGACUCCUACGGGAGGCAGCAGUGGGGAAUCUUGCGCAAUGGGCGAAAGCCUGACGCAGCGACGCCGCGUGAGGGAUGACGGCCUCGGUUGUAAC